RNAcentral lists this ribosomal RNA (164 nucleotides) under uncultured bacterium. Its description in RNAcentral is "partial 16S ribosomal RNA". It matches the Rfam family "Bacterial small subunit ribosomal RNA", at positions 1338 to 1500 of the family's 1533-position model. The record is from RNAcentral.
GUAAUCGCGGAUCAGAAUGCCGCGGUGAAUACGUUCCCGGGUCUUGUACACACCGCCCGUCACACCAUGGGAGUCGGAAAUGCCCGAAGUCUGUGACCCAACCAUUAAGGAGGGAGCAGCCGAAGGCAGGUCUGAUGACUGGGGUGAAGUCGUAACAAGGUAUC